This 623-nucleotide ribosomal RNA is filed under the name uncultured bacterium. RNAcentral describes it as "bacterial SSU rRNA". It matches the Rfam family "Bacterial small subunit ribosomal RNA", at positions 35 to 690 of the family's 1533-position model. The record is from RNAcentral.
GCUGGCGGCGUGCCUAACACAUGCAAGUCGAACGAGAAAGUGGAGCAAUCCAUGAGUAAAGUGGCGACCGGGUGAGUAACACGUGACUAACCUGCCUUCGAGUGGGGGAUAACCUCGGGAAACCGGGGCUAAUACCGCAUAAUGCCUUCGGGUUAAAGAAGCAAUUCGCUUGAAGAGGGGGUCGCGGCUGAUUAGCUAGUUGGUGAGGUAACGGCUCACCAAGGCGAUGAUCGGUAGCCGGCCUGAGAGGGCGCACGGCCACACUGGAACUGAAACACGGUCCAGACUCCUACGGGAGGCAGCAGUGGGGAAUUUUGCGCAAUGGGGGAAACCCUGACGCAGCAACGCCGCGUGGAGGAUGAAGUCCCUUGGGACGUAAACUCCUUUCGACCGGGACGAUGAUGACGGUACCGGUGGAAGAAGCCCCGGCUAACUUCGUGCCAGCAGCCGCGGUAAUACGAGGGGGGCAAGCGUUGUUCGGAAUUAUUGGGCGUAAAGGGCGCGUANGCGGUGCGGUAAGUCACCUGUGAAACCUCUGGGCUUAACUCAGAGCCUGCAGGCGAAACUGCCGUGCUCGAGUGUGGGAGAGGUGCGUGGAAUUCCCGGUGUAGCGGUGAAAUGCG